RNAcentral lists this ribosomal RNA (2716 nucleotides) under Arthothelium ruanum. RNAcentral's name for it is "large subunit ribosomal RNA". It matches the Rfam family "Bacterial large subunit ribosomal RNA", at positions 170 to 2725 of the family's 2925-position model. Lineage: Eukaryota; Fungi; Ascomycota; Arthoniomycetes; Arthoniales; Arthoniaceae. The record is from RNAcentral.
AAUUAAAUAAUAAACGAAAUAAAUUGAAAUAUCUUAAUAAUUUCAGGAACAAAAAUCAAACGAGAUUCUAUGAUUAGUGUGAACAAAAGUAGAAAAGCCUUAAUAGUUGAUUAAGUAAAGUGAAAUUUAAUUUUGCUUGAAUAAAGGGGGACCUUCCUCUAAGGCUAAAUAUGAUGUAUAAGCGAUAGUGAAGAUAAGUAUCGUAAGAGAAAGAAAAUAAAGAGUAGUUUUAUAAGCAGUUCAAGUUAAAAAUAAGAAAAAAUAAGAACGUACCUUUUGCAUAAUGGGUCAGCAAGUUAAUAUUAGAUGCAAGCAAACCAAAGUUUGCCUAGAUAAACCAGUUAUGAAAUAAUGAUAAAGUAUCUAAUAUUAGACCCGAAGCCUAGUGAUCUUACCAUGGUCAGGAUUAUAAAAGUCCGAACGGGUUAUCGUUGUAAAGAUAUCCGAAGAACUGUGGUAAGUUAGUGAAAGACAAUACUGACUAGGAUAGCUGGUUUUCCGCGAAACCUAUCUAAGUAGGUGAUUCUAUAUACAUCUUAGCAGGUACAUUAUGGACUCUCUGACAAAAUGUGUAUUUAUACAUUUUGUGCACAUCGGGGAAUUUGCGAGAAUUUUAUCGGUGAGUAGACGAACAUCGGAAUGGCAAAGAUUUUUAUUGAAUAGUCAGACAUAAUAUGAUAAGGUAAUAUGUCUAAAGGGAAACAGCCCAAAACAAGAGCUAAUAAGGUUCCAAAAUUAUUAUUAAGUGAAAAUAAGGAAGUUGUUAUUUCAUACGGCUAGUUGAUAGGCUUAGAAGCGGCCAAUUUACAAUGAUCUCGUAACAGAGCACUGGCUAAUAAAUAUAAAACAUAUAACGGCGCCGAAAAUUUAACGGAUCUAAAUAAUAUACCGAAACCUUGUUCAUGUUUACUAACGUAUUUUUCAAAAAAAUAAUCUGUUAAUUAACAUGGGGUAGCGGAACGUAGGGCAAAUUUAGGAUCUUUUCUAUUUUAGAAAAGAGAUAAAAUAACCCUAGUGAUAAUGCUGACAUGAGUAACGAAAAAGGAGUAAUCCUCGCCUUAAGCUUAUGACUAAACUAAAAGUAACGGCCUCUAAGUAAAAAGUCCUAAAGGAUUUAACGAUGAGAAAAUACUAUUUUAUAUAUAAUACCUUUUAACUGCUCAGUGUAACUUAGAUUAAAUAAAGUAAAAACCGAUUAGGAUAACAUAUAAUUUAACUUAAGUGUAAUCUUACACAAAAAGUGGUUUAAAGCAAAAAGAGUUCAGGAAAUAUACGUAAAAUUUAAAGUACCGUUUCUAGACACUUUGAAGGUAAGCUAGUGUAGUAUACGAAGGCGAAUGAGUCAACAAUCAUUAAGGAACUCGGCAAAUUAACUUGCGUAACUUCGGGAUAAGCAGAGCCAUUCUUAUUUAGUAAUAUAAAAUAGGAAGAGGAGGCAUAGAAUAGUGUUGUACGACUGUUUAAUUAAAACAAAGCACUUUGCAUAAGACUUAAAGUCAAAGUAUUGAGUGUGAUAUCUGCCCUCUAUCGGCUGGUUAACGGAUUUGCUAGGCCUGUUAGGUUUGGCUUAGAAGGAACCCCCGAUCAAUGGCGGUCUUAACUCUGAGGAUCCUAAGGUAGCGAAAUGCCUUGGCCGUUAAAUGCGGUCUUGCAUGAAUGAUUUAACGAUACAACAGCUGUCUCAAUGAUUGACUCAGUGAAAUUGUAAUAACUGUGCAGAUACAGUUUACUUCUAGAUAGACGAGAAGACCCUUUGCAGCUUUACUGUUACUAUCAAUUGGGUAUAACACAGCUAGUUUUAGUGAAUAAGGUAGUUGAUAUUACAAUGAUGAAACACCUUUACUUAGCUUGUUAUAUAGAUAGAAAAGGUUUAUAGAACAAAAUGAAGUUUUGUUUAGUAUAGAUAACCUAUAAACCCCCUCUACGAAACUAAUUCAGAUAAUUUGAAAACAAUUGGUAAUAGACAGUUUAUGCGGGGCACAGAUCCCAUAAAAAGUAACUGGGAAUGUCCAAAGUUAGUUAGUAAUAUAGCAUAAAGCAAUAAAAUAGCAAACUGCUAUUUUAUUAUUAAUUUUUAAUUGGAAGGUUUAUAACUACCAAUUCAACCGUUCUCUAUUGAGUUAGAGAUAUUAAUUUUUUUUUAUUUAGGUAAGAUCUUCUAUAUUGAGAAUAGUUGCAAACAAAACAAAAAAACAAACGAAACGGACGAAAAACGAAACAUAAGAAACAGAUACCGAUUCAAUAAAAUAUAUUUGGACAAAAUAUAAUAAUACAAAAUAAUAUUUAAUUAGUGUAUAAAUAAGUUGUUUAUAUAUUAAUAUUUAAAUUUGCAUGAAGAGUUUAAUGGUAUAAUCUUGCCUUACUGUUUGACUUACAAGUCUAUCAGUCGCGUAAGCGGGGCAUAUGAUCACAAGAUGCGGAAUGGAAAGGUCUUGGAUUUUUGAAUAAAGCUACGCUAGGGAUAACAGGCUAAUUGCGCCGGAGAGUACAAAUUGGGUUGCGCAGUUUGGCACCUCGAUGUCGGCUUGGCCCAUCCACAUGAUUGCAAAAAGCAUGAAGGGUACGACUGUUCGUCGAUUAAAGGGCUACAUGAGCUGGGUUAAAUACGUCGUGAGACAGUAUGGUUUCUAUCUUCUAGAAGAAAUUUAAAUAAAAUAAGGAUAGCCCCCUCGUACGAAAGGAGCUGGGUAUGUCAAUCCAUGGUUUACCUGUUGUU